GGGGUGUCCGACUAGCGUAGGUCUUUGCAUUGUACAGAAUUGUCUGUGUCGGUCCGGCCAGUCUUUGCGGGGGUGUGUGGACAUGCACACCUCAUCCAAAUAUGACGCAAAAAUGUCUUUUUCCUAUGGAAUGUAUUAGACGCUAAGAGGUGAUUAUUGUCUGACCGGGACUGCACAUAUCACAUGGUUUUGUUUACCAAAGUGAAUCCAUUCUUUAAAAAAAGAUUUAAAAAAAUAUGAGAUUUAAGGAAAGUGUAUUAGAUUUGCUGUGUUGGAUAUAAAGUGUUUAUUGCAAAUACAGUAUUUGAACUCGUCCGGGUGGUCAGGGAGGACAUUCUCCUCAAGCGACAGUGGGAGUUUGGUUUGUUUCUCUGAUAAGUUGAGUUUUAAUGGCUGUUGAAGGUAAGUAACUAGCGUUUAUAACCGUUUCGUGCUGUUUGUAAGAGGAUUUAAUAGUAUUUCAUAAUUUUAAUAGAUAUUUUUCAAUCUUUGUGUAACAUAAAUGUAUUUUUUUUGCAUUACAUAUUUCUUGGGAUAUUAUUUCAAUGGAGCUUUUAAAAAACCAACCAACCCCAGAUUGCGCAGUGGCUCACUUUGUGUGUGUGAGAGUCUGGAGGGCCGUGACUGCCAGCCAGGGGUCUGUGUCCGUGAUGUCCGGGCCUGGAGGGCUCGGGGCAAGUGGCUGGGACGUGUUGUCUGUUUUGCCAAUUGUCACUGCAGUUUUUAUUAGAGAAUAGUACCGAUGCUGACGAUCCUGUUGAGAUUUUUAUUUCUAUUUUCUCACUGUUGCUGGAUGCUGCAGCUGUUCCCCAGAAGGAAUCACUCAAGUACUAAACAGUUUGAUGGAUUAUUGUGAA
Gopherus flavomarginatus (Mexican gopher tortoise) is the source of this 857-nucleotide long non-coding RNA. RefSeq lists it as uncharacterized. NCBI's taxonomy places the organism in Eukaryota, Metazoa, Chordata, Testudines, Testudinidae. The transcript has 2 exons. The record is from RefSeq and is a predicted model, not a curated record.